CGACAUAGCUCAGUUGGUAGAGCAGCGCCUUCGUAAGGCGAAGGUCGGAGGUUCGAGUCCUCUUGUCGGC
Molecule: transfer RNA, 70 nt
Filed under: uncultured Limosilactobacillus sp.
Lineage: Bacteria; Bacillati; Bacillota; Bacilli; Lactobacillales; Lactobacillaceae
Rfam family: tRNA
About the family: Transfer RNA (tRNA) molecules are approximately 80 nucleotides in length. Their secondary structure includes four short double-helical elements and three loops (D, anti-codon, and T loops). Further hydrogen bonds mediate the characteristic L-shaped molecular structure. tRNAs have two regions of fundamental functional importance: the anti-codon, which is responsible for specific mRNA codon recognition, and the 3' end, to which the tRNAs corresponding amino acid is attached (by aminoacyl-tRNA synthetases). tRNAs cope with the degeneracy of the genetic code in two manners: having more than one tRNA (with a specific anti-codon) for a particular amino acid; and 'wobble' base-pairing, i.e. permitting non-standard base-pairing at the 3rd anti-codon position.
Source: RNAcentral